This 404-nucleotide ribosomal RNA is filed under the name Fusobacteriota bacterium. RNAcentral's name for it is "Fusobacteria bacterium partial 16S ribosomal RNA". It matches the Rfam family "Bacterial small subunit ribosomal RNA", at positions 355 to 776 of the family's 1533-position model. The record is from RNAcentral. Lineage: Bacteria; Fusobacteriati; Fusobacteriota.
UGGGGAAUAUUGCACAAUGGAGGGAACUCUGAUGCAGCGACGCCGCGUGAACGAAGAAGGCUUUCGAGUCGUAAAGUUCUUUUAUAUGGGAAGAUAAUGACGGUACCAUAGGAGAAAGCUCCGGCUAAAUACGUGCCAGCAGCCGCGGUAAUACGUAUGGAGCGAGCGUUGUCCGGAAUUAUUGGGCGUAAAGGGUGCGCAGGCGGCUUUACAAGUUGGAUGUGAAAUAUUGUGGCUCAACCACAAACGUGCAUCCAAAACUGCAAAGCUUGAGUUAAGGAGAGGUAAGUGGAAUUCCUGGUGUAGCGGUGGAAUGCGUAGAUAUCAGGAGGAAUACCGGUGGCGAAGGCGACUUACUGGACUUAAACUGACGCUCAGGCACGAAAGCGUGGGGAGCAAACAGG